This 305-nucleotide ribosomal RNA is filed under the name uncultured bacterium. RNAcentral's name for it is "bacterial SSU rRNA". It matches the Rfam family "Bacterial small subunit ribosomal RNA", at positions 333 to 635 of the family's 1533-position model. The record is from RNAcentral.
CAUGUCCUACGGGGCGCAGCAGUGAGGAAUAUUGGUCAAUGGACGAGAGUCUGAACCAGCCAAGUAGCGUGAAGGAUGACUGCCCUAUGGGUUGUAAACUUCUUUUAUAUGGGAAUAAAAUGUUCCACGUGCGGGAUUUUGUAUGUACCAUAUGAAUAAGGAUCGGCUAACUCCGUGCCAGCAGCCGCGGUAAUACGGAGGAUCCGAGCGUUAUCCGGAUUUAUUGGGUUUAAAGGGAGCGUAGGUGGAUUGUUAAGUCAGUUGUGAAAAUUUGCGGCUCACCCGUAAAAUUGCAGUUGAAACGG